RNAcentral lists this ribosomal RNA (1209 nucleotides) under Salmonella enterica. RNAcentral's name for it is "partial 23S ribosomal RNA". It matches the Rfam family "Bacterial large subunit ribosomal RNA", at positions 568 to 1691 of the family's 2925-position model. The record is from RNAcentral. Lineage: Bacteria; Pseudomonadati; Pseudomonadota; Gammaproteobacteria; Enterobacterales; Enterobacteriaceae.
CCACCACUAAGCCAGUGGUGAACUCCACAUACGCAUCCUUUGCUGAGGAUACGGUUAACGGAGCGAAAGCGACGUUCAACCUCAAAAGAAGCAGAGGGGGCUUAGUGGUGGGGUGACUGCGUACCUUUUGUAUAAUGGGUCAGCGACUUAUAUUCUGUAGCAAGGUUAACCGAAUAGGGGAGCCGGAGGGAAACCGAGUCUUAACCGGGCGUUAAGUUGCAGGGUAUAGACCCGAAACCCGGUGAUCUAGCCAUGGGCAGGUUGAAGGUUGGGUAACACUAACUGGAGGACCGAACCGACUAAUGUUGAAAAAUUAGCGGAUGACCUGUGGCUGGGGGUGAAAGGCCAAUCAAACCGGGAGAUAGCUGGUUCUCCCCGAAAGCUAUUUAGGUAGCGCCUCGUGAAUUCAUCUCCGGGGGUAGAGCACUGUUUCGGCUAGGGGGUCAUCCCGACUUACCAACCCGAUGCAAACUGCGAAUACCGGAGAAUGUUAUCACGGGAGACACACGGCGGGUGCUAACGUCCGUCGUGAAGAGGGAAACAACCCAGACCGCCAGCUAAGGUCCCAAAGUCAUGGUUAAGUGGGAAACGAUGUGGGAAGGCCCAGACAGCCAGGAUGUUGGCUUAGAAGCAGCCAUCAUUUAAAGAAAGCGUAAUAGCUCACUGGUCGAGUCGGCCUGCGCGGAAGAUGUAACGGGGCUAAACCAUGCACCGAAGCUGCGGCAGCGACACUAUGUGUUGUUGGGUAGGGGAGCGUUCUGUAAGCCUGCGAAGGUGUCUCGUGAGGGAUGCUGGAGGUAUCAGAAGUGCGAAUGCUGACAUAAGUAACGAUAAUGCGGGUGAAAAACCCGCACGCCGGAAGACCAAGGGUUCCUGUCCAACGUUAAUCGGGGCAGGGUGAGUCGACCCCUAAGGCGAGGCCGAAAGGCGUAGUCGAUGGGAAACAGGUUAAUAUUCCUGUACUUGGUGUUACUGCGAAGGGGGGACGGAGAAGGCUAUGUUGGCCGGGCGACGGUUGUCCCGGUUUAAGCGUGUAGGUGUGUGUUCCAGGUAAAUCCGGUUCACUUUAACACUGAGGCGUGAUGACGAGGCACUACGGUGCUGAAGCAACAAAUGCCCUGCUUCCAGGAAAAGCCUCUAAGCAUCAGGUAACAUCAAAUCGUACCCCAAACCGACACAGGUGGUCAGGUAGAGAAUACCAAGGCGCUU